AUUGAACGCUGGCGGCAGGCCUAACACAUGCAAGUCGAGCGGUAACAUUUCUAGCUUGCUAGAAGAUGACGAGCGGCGGGACGGGUGAGUAAUGCUUGGAAAUCUGCCUGGUAGGUGGGGGACACAGUUAGGAAACGACUGCUAAUACCGCAUAACCUACUUCGGAGGCCAAAGUGGGGGACCCUCGGGCCUCACGCUACCAGAUGAGUCCAAGUGGGAUUAGCUA
This 226-nucleotide ribosomal RNA is filed under the name uncultured Gammaproteobacteria bacterium. RNAcentral's name for it is "partial 16S ribosomal RNA". It matches the Rfam family "Bacterial small subunit ribosomal RNA", at positions 30 to 247 of the family's 1533-position model. Lineage: Bacteria; Pseudomonadati; Pseudomonadota; Gammaproteobacteria. The record is from RNAcentral.